CGCAUCACCCUCCCCCAGCAGAGUCACCAAGCCUCAGGCAGCAGCAGACGGGUACCCCGGCCCCAGUUCAUGGCUGGUCAGCCCGUCUCCUCUCUGUGCCUGUCCCGAUCUCAGGGCGAAGCUCUCUGAUCCAUGCCAUGCUUCCUGAAGUGUCUAAAGGAGGUCAGCAGGAGAAGGCUACUGCCACUAAGCCUGAGGACCUGAGUUUGAUCCUGGGGACCCACACCGUAGGAGAGAACUGACUCUCACAGACUGUCUUCCGACCGCCACACUGUGACACAGGUCCCAGCCACCGGUUCCCAGGACUGCCCUGAGGUCAUUAUCUGGGGCCAGCAGGGCUCAGGCCUUCGCCCACCGGAGCGGAGUCAGAAUAAGAGACCUCCUGGGCCCCCAUGCACAGCUGCCUGCUCAGGGCCGCAGUGGCCUAGGGGCCUGCCAAGGCUGCAGCCUGGCACUUUCAACGUUGUCUGCAAGUCUGAUUUAGACAGUUGGGAGCCUUGAGGAGCGAUGCCCUCUCAUGCUCGCCCGUGACUUUAAGCCACGUGAGCACGGAUGUGGAAUACCUGUCAGAUGCUGUGUAUGUCUCUCAUUGAGCAACACAGCACCUGGCCACCGUGGGUUACUAAAUGAAGGGUGAAGCCCUGCUCUGGAUGCUUCAUCCGGUCUGCGGCAGAGAUGGAGAAUGACUAGAGCUGCCCCCAACUCUGGGCAGAGGAUGGGGUAGGCAUACGGGUACUGGUGAGCCUCUCUGCAGCAGCGCCACAGGAGGAGGAGGAGGAGGAGGAGGAGGAGGAGGAAGAACAGACAGGAGCAGGAUGGGACAAUGGGGAGUCGGUAGCCCUCAAACCAGACCUGCCUGCUCAUCCUUAUCUCUGCUCCUGUGCCCUAGCCUAGAAGGUAAGGGAUCGAGGAGGGGAGUUUCUGGGUCUCCAGGGAGAUCUGGUCUGUGCUGACACAGCGUCCUAGUCCUUUGGGAACCUGAGCUGGUACUGGACGACAGGCUAGCUUUUCUUCGGCUGAAUCCAGGUCCUCUGAACCCAGAAGGAGGAAAAUGGGACACUAAGAAUAAUUCCCUUCCUCCCUGCUCCUUCCAGUGACAAAGUUAGAAAGUAAGGAGCCGGCGUGAGGUCACAGGUGGCCGAGUGGGACUCAUACUCGAGGCCCUGACCUCCGUGCGGAGCCACUGCUUCUUCUUGGGGACAGGUUGAUAAACAGAGCUCAGGCUCUCCCCCAGCUAAGGUGUGGAGCCAGGCCUAAUGUACAGAGGGCAUCCCAGCUGACAGCGGCCAGGGCUGCCACCUGUCAUAGAGGAUUCUUCAGAAGCGUCCACAAAGCAUUUCUCACAUCUGCUUAACCCUGCUGAAGCCACCCUGUGCGAUGCAUAGCCUGGGUUUGGAUUGGGUGGUCCGUGUUUUGAGGGGGGGGGGUUUAUCUCUGUAAAUACCUUUAAACAGGUUCACAGUGUUGACGUCCC
Non-coding RNA from Peromyscus maniculatus bairdii (prairie deer mouse), 1474 nucleotides. NCBI's taxonomy places the organism in Eukaryota, Metazoa, Chordata, Mammalia, Rodentia, Cricetidae. The record is from RefSeq and is a predicted model, not a curated record.